Molecule: long non-coding RNA, 1373 nt
Organism: Ostrea edulis (European flat oyster)
Lineage: Eukaryota; Metazoa; Mollusca; Bivalvia; Ostreida; Ostreidae
Exons: 6
Source: RefSeq, a predicted model, not a curated record
CGGAUGAGGUGGUCUAAUUUUGGCUUCAAAGUUAUCUUUAACAAGUAUGCAUUUCCCUUACGUACAUCACGAAGUAUUUCAAGUGUGUGCAUGAUGACCAUGUCAAGUAUGCAGGAAAUAUCUUUCUGUGCGCUUACGUUUAAAAUUAUAUUCCAUCCAAGUUGAUAUCAAUUUCUCUCGAGCAUUUAAAGAGUCCUGACUAAAAGGUAUCCGUUAAUAUCAUUAUUAGAUUCACUACAUGAUACCCAAAGGAGAUAGUGAGAAGAUUUAUUAUACUUCCUUGGAGAAAAAUACGUAUUCGUCUGUUCGGUACAGAAUUAUGAACUUCAUUUUACUCCUGGAGACCGCCAUAUUUGUGGCCACCACAGUUGUAGUAGACACACAGCCGUUGUUGAAGAAAAGUGUAAUUAUGGAAGAGAGGAAAUUCACGGACUAGAAGAAUAUGUUAAAGACAUCAGUCAAUCAUUGCAAAGUCUUCACAAGGUCGUAAGUGCUUUGGUAUCUAUCCAUGGGACAAAUAAAGUGUGCCCUACAGGAUGGAAGAUGCACGAAGACUCUUGUUACAAAUUAUAUAAAAAGGGAAUGACAAUGGAAGAUGGAAAAAAAUUUUGUUCACGGGUAAAUGGAUACUUGGUGGAGAUCGAAACAGAAAGGGAAAAUGACUUCAUACUCGAACAACUUGAGAACAAUAAUGGACAAAUAACACAACCGGUUGUUGGAUUGGCGCAACCGAUGAAAAAAAAGAGGGCCAAUGGACAUGGAUUACAACAGGUACCAAUAUCUCAUUUUCGAACUGGGCAGACGGCGAACCAAACAAUGAACGGAAUGAUGAACACUGUCUGGAGCUGAGAAAGGACCAGUUGUGGCGCUGGAAUGAUAUCUCAUGUACUAAUGAAAUGGUGGUACUUUGUGAGAGGGAGAAGAUUGAAUUGACCGAUUUAUAAAUACCUAGUGUCCUUUCACAAUGAUGAAGUCACCAAGCCAAAGACACUAUAUAGUUAUCUACAAAGACUGUAAUGGCCGUCUGCGUUUUAUAUCAUUCAUCUACAUGAAACAUUAUAUUUGGUUCGGAUAAUCCACAUGUUUUGGACAAUAGGUUAAACAUUGCCAUCCCUUUUUUGGAUGGAAAGAAUGUAACUAUUGUGGAGUUCCACAUUGAACUAUAUUAGACCCAAUGUUUUUAUCCUGUUUAUCAGUGACUAUGUACCAGCACUGAAACAUCGUCAUGGAGAUAUUUGUUAAUGUCCCAACUGUAAUCCAAUUCAGAAAUUACCUAUAAAGAUUUACACAUUUAAGCUAUAUACCAGGGUCAUUCAUAGACAAUGUCUCUCUCGUAUAUAUAUAUAUUCUUUUGAAAAUAAAAUUCAACACAU